GCCGGGAGCGCGGUGUCCGCCCCGCUGAUGGGGCUGCGGGCGGCACCUUCCCCCGGGGAGGGGACGACGAGGAGGAGGAGAAGGAGGAGAAGGAGAGCCAGUGGCGGAGGUUUUUCAUGACUGUUCUGAUUCCUGUUGCUGCAGCCAGCGUGGAUCCGGAUGCCGUGGCUACAGAGGCUUGCUACUUUCUCAUGCUGGAUCCCUCAAAUCCAAGAGCUACUUGGCAGUUUCCAAGGCAACCACCUGUGGAAUAAUUAAAAAGGAUGAAGUGUUAGCCUGCCAGAUAUAAGGAAUUCUUGCCUGGAGAGAGCAUUUCACUUUCAUCUGCCUUGAAGAAUCAAAUGUGCUUCUGCCAGCAAAGUUAAGAAAAAGGAAAGGUGGCUGAGUUGUACAAGUGAACCAGGACAAUCCAAAACGAAAAAAGUCAAGUACGAAACAGGAACAAGAAGCGCCUCCCUCCCCCCCUGUAGAGGCACCAGGUCUGACUCUUUCUGCAUGCAGAAGCAGGUGACUCAAAGCAGGAGGGAGCAGAUGGCAGCAUCGUUAGCUGGUGGCCAUAGCCUUCCCAGAUGAGUUUUGGAAUUUCCAUCAAAGUCGGGAUUAGGCUCAGGAUAUGCCGGUGGCACAGAGCACGCCGGGGGAGCGUGGAAGAAGAGGAAAUCAUUCAUAGCGACUCAUCUCGUGGUUGGGUGAGUCAGGGGUCUGCUGUUGGUGGUCAGAAAGGCACGUGGCUGACGACACCGUCUUUGUGUGCUCUGCAGGAUGCAAACUGUCUCCAAAAAUUAAUUCUCCCCGCUUGAUUUGUCCAAUGAGUUAUUUCCAGAAAGGAGUUACUGUAUUUUCUGGAAUGACUAUUGUGAAAUUCUUUCUCUGUCCUUUUUUUUUUUUUUUUUUUUUUUAAUACAGUGGGCAAGUGUUCAGCUGGUGAUUUAUCAACAAAGUAUUUUACAGGAUCAUAGUUAAAAGCUCAUCUUAAAAAAAAAAAAAAAUCAUACCCUGUGCAAUAGGGAAAGUAAAAGCAUCUCAGUUUCCAAGUGAUGAAGGAAUAACCGAAAGAGCUAGUUCUUGGAAUAGUAGCUCCAUUGGCACUCGUUGGUGAUUUCCUGUGCAUUUGCUGCAAGAAUCGCUCUGUGAUGUGAGUAGGUGGUACUAAAGGGUUAUUACGAAACCAGUUUCCAACCAGACGUUUUGAGUCAUGGAUGGGGAACAGGGAUAGCAGCUUCGGAGCUCUCUCUUUGUUCAGGCAGUGCUCCUGAAAUGCACACGCAGGAUAAUCUGUGCUUGCACGGAACAAGGCAGACCGGGGAUAGGUCUGGGAUCACGUGGAGUGCACUCCUUCAUGCCUCUCCAUCCCAGGGAUGGGAAAUGGGAAACGUGGGCUGCGAGCCGGCGGCGGCGUGCAAGGUGCACACGGAGCAGUUUCCCGACUUGUCUUUCAAUUGUAAGUAUUUCUCAUGGCUUUUCCCAGACGUGGGAGACAAAAUGGAGUUGCGUCAGGACGGAUGCCUGUGCCAAAAUGAGGUGGUGGUUUGGAGUGCCUUGGUUCUGUUCUGGAAGCAGAUGGGCUGCCAGUGGCAGGAGACAGUUGGCUUCUCCAUCAGGAAAAAAAAAAAAAAAGAAAAAGGGGUGUUUAAAGGAAUUGGUCUGGCUCCUAAACCGAAGGAAUUGUUGACCCACUGACUCAGUUCUGAAGCAUUAGGGAAGCAGUCUUCCUGUGGUUUCUUUUGUUGGUGGCAGAUUCAGAGCCCGGCUGUGAGCGUUCGGGUGUGAGGAGCAGAGGAGAGACAGUUCUGGUACCUGCUGCUGUGGGAUUUAUUUGGUGCUGGGGAGGAGCUGAGGUGCUGACGGCUUGAGCAACACCUGAACUUUAUUUCUGAUGUUUCUCCCAGUAAUGCAUUGGUACUGAUCUCACAAAGGUGUCCUGCAUAUGCCAAAGGACGAACAUGUUGUUUGAGGGAAAAGCUGUUCAUAAAUCUGUGCAAACUGAAAGAUUCUGAAGACAAACCUGUCAGUAGCGAAUUGUCCCAGAAGCACAUGGAGAAAGUUGUACAUGGUGGAGGCUGUUUUUUCUGAGGUACAGAACAUCUGUGUCCUUCCUUGGUAUCAGCUGUUGUAAAUACCUUGUGGCCAUUAAGCCUUUAUUGCUCGAAGCUUUGAGAAGCUUUGAAAUUAAAAAGAUUAAAGGUAUUGUGUGUGCAUAAUGGAUAAAUUGAAUGUUUCACUAGUGGGAAAUAACUGUCUUUAUUUGAGAGCUGUGUCCCUGUUCCAGAGGGAUGUUCCCCAGAUCUCUUACUUCGUAGUUCUUCUCAGUGCAGCUAAACAAAGCACAGGAAGGAAUGGGAAGUACUCUCAUCAGUGUAGGAAAUCUUUUCAGUAAUGGUUUUUCAUGUCAAUAAUUUCCUCACAAAUGCUUUUUUGUUCUUACCUGUUUAUAUCAAGCCACUGCAGACCUUCUGAUCAUAUUAAAUUCCAUUAGUGGAGGCUUUGAUUGUUUCUUGCACACUGCCCAUUUAACGUAAGAAAACAAAAUUGUUCGGUAAGAAAAAUUCAAAUGGAAAAAUUCAGGCCUGUGGGGGAAGUUGGACCUUGUGCAAAAACCCAGUAAAACUUGAGUAAGAACCUCAGAGUUCAGUGUAUUGAUUUUCUUGUGAAAGUUCAAGAGCUGUGUUUCGUUGCAGGCUGAAACUCAUCUCAACUCCUCAUGACCAGCUGAGCAAGAGAGAUGGGAUUUGAUGCUAUCCAAGGUGUAAUUCCACAGUUCAUGUCUUUUGCUACUGCCAGCUUAAUAAGUUUCUGCCCACUCCCAGCCAUUCAUUUCCAGCCCAGCAGCAAUGCAGUGCCAUCUCUUCCCUGACCGCGCGGAAAACCAGAUGGCUGAAAAUAACUCAGUCAAGAAAAGAAA
Pseudopipra pipra is the source of this 2902-nucleotide long non-coding RNA. RefSeq lists it as uncharacterized. The transcript is spliced from 7 exons. The record is from RefSeq and is a predicted model, not a curated record. Lineage: Eukaryota; Metazoa; Chordata; Aves; Passeriformes; Pipridae.